ACCCCAUUCAUUUUUGAAAUUGAUAAGAACAAAACCUCCAGUCAAGAAGAGAAAAAAAAUGAGUUGGAGACAAACAUGGUCACAAACCAAAAAUGACAAACAAAUAGCAGCUUCACACAUGUUAGAACUACUAUAAAGGUCGUCUCUAUUUAAGCUAGCAAAAACUUAGUUCUCUGUGUCUACCUUCUUGUUCAAUUCAAG
RNAcentral lists this long non-coding RNA (201 nucleotides) under Mytilus galloprovincialis (Mediterranean mussel). The record is from RNAcentral. Lineage: Eukaryota; Metazoa; Mollusca; Bivalvia; Mytilida; Mytilidae.